RNAcentral lists this ribosomal RNA (167 nucleotides) under uncultured bacterium. RNAcentral describes it as "partial 16S rRNA". It matches the Rfam family "Bacterial small subunit ribosomal RNA", at positions 353 to 511 of the family's 1533-position model. The record is from RNAcentral.
UAGGGGAAAUCUUCCACAAAUGGACGCAAGUCUGAUGGAGCAACGCCGCGUGAGUGAAGAAGGGUUUCGGCUCGUAAAGCUCUGUUGUUAAAGAAGAACGUGGGUAAGAGUAACUGUUUACCCAGUGACGGUAUUUAACCAGAAAGCCACGGCUAACUACGUGCCAG